UUAAUCUCUUCACCCCGCCAGUGAGAUCAGGUCUCCUAUUAAUUGCUUGGAGAAACCUCAAAACGUUUGUGCUCUGCCUCUCCUCAAGCAAUUUUCUGCAUGCUUGAACUAUAUCUGAUUCCGGAGCUUCUGCAGUACCACGAACUUCCUUGCUGAAGUACCGCUGAAGCAAAAACUCCUCAACCAAUCCACACAUGCCAUAGAAAUAUAGCAAAUUCG
This 219-nucleotide unclassified non-coding RNA is filed under the name Hevea brasiliensis (rubber tree). The record is from RNAcentral. Lineage: Eukaryota; Viridiplantae; Streptophyta; Magnoliopsida; Malpighiales; Euphorbiaceae.